UAACUGCGUGCAGACGUGUGAACUGCAGGACACAUGAACACCGACGUUUUGAACGCAAAUGGCGGCUUGAAAUAAAUUUCAAGCCACGUCUGGCUGAGGGUCGGAUAUAAAAUCAAAACGAAAAAAUGCUUUCUGAGUUUACUUCUCAGGUUAAAGCUUUAUCGUCAAGUUUUUCAUGAGCUUGAUUAGAAUAUCAAUUGUAAUGUUUGCUGAAGUUUGUUCUGAUGUAAAAAUUUGUGAACAAGCAGCAGAUUUAUGUAAUGAAAGAAUCUGUGGAAAUAGCAACAUUGAAUUGAAAAACCAUUUAAAAAUAAAAAUGAUUCACAGAUACGACCUCAGAGUAGGCGAGAUUACCCGCUAAAUUUAA
This 367-nucleotide unclassified non-coding RNA is filed under the name uncultured fungus. Its description in RNAcentral is "sequence contains ITS1". The stretch from base 1 to 103 matches the Rfam family "5.8S ribosomal RNA", at positions 50 to 154 of the family's 154-position model. Lineage: Eukaryota; Fungi. The record is from RNAcentral.